AUUAAUGCACCAGACUAUGGCCCAUUGCCUCCUGAUGCUCCUUCUUGGUGCCAAGCUCCGUUUGAUCCCGAAGGACUUUUGAGGUAUCCAUGUUUCUUCUGAUUCUAUCCAUAGAAAAUCAUAAUGACAAGUUGUGUUAUUACACAAAAUUUAUUGCAGUUUUCAGUGUGUGUUAUUCUUUCUUAUCGUUCGUUGCAUUUUGCAGUACAGUGAUGGCUGUUGUUACCUGCUUGGUUGGCUUACAUUAUGGACAUAUCAUUGUACAUUUCAAAGUGAGUGAGACACUCCAGCUAACAUUGUACUUUUACAUGGAUUUGUGUCUGUUCUAUAUAGGAAAAAACAUUGUCUUACUUAUCUCUACUUGCAGGAUCACCGAGACCGAAUGCUUCAUUGGAUUAUACCUUCUUCUUGUCUAAUUGUAUUGGCCAUUGGCCUGGACUUCUUAGGUGAGUGAGAUUCGUUCAAAAUGAUGAUUUUGAUAGAGAUAAUGAAGGGGACUAUACCAAAAUAGUGACUUAAACUCUUUUGCAGGGAUGCAUAUAAAUAAGGUUCUUUAUACAGUUAGUUACAUGAGUGUCACUGCUGGUGCAGCUGGACUUCUCUUUACCGGGAUAUACUUGAUGGUAUUAAGCAACUUCAUUGUUUGAUCUUCACUAACAAUUCAUUUGGUAACUAAAACUGACAACACGGUUAACGAUUGGUUGUGUAUGGUUGUGUGAAGGUUGAUGUGUACAGUUGGAGACGCAUGAAUGUGGUGAUGGAGUGGAUGGGAAAGCACGCAUUGGUGAUAUACGUUCUUGCCGCCUGCAACGUUCUGCCUGUGAUUCUCCAAGGCUUCUAUUUGGGUCAGCCUCAGAACAACAUUGUAAGUUUACUUCCCUAAAUGAAAUGACAGUCUAUUUUCCAAUUAUGAAGUCUAUUUCCCAAUUAUUAUAGUGAUUGAAUUCUGAGUUAUGUUAUGCAAUUGGCAGCUGAGGCUAAUUGGGGUUCCAUCGUGAAGGGGUCUAUCCUUUGGAAUAUAUAGAAUAGACCACAUAGCUCGUGAUGUCGAUUGGUAUUUUCUAUUAAAAGAGGAAGGAGCAAUAAAAUGGAGAGGUAUAUGGUCGCUUCAUGUGGUCAAUCAAGCACUCGCUCGGCUCGUAUCUAAUAGAGAAAAUUAGUUUAGUUUAGUUUUGUGUAAAAUAUUUAGAAGGAAUGAAAUUGAAGUUAUAUAUUAUUAUUUUGGUGCUCUGCCUCUACACAUCACUCCACUCAUUGUAUACCAUGUUUUUAAGCCCGCCCAAUAUAAUUCCACACAAAAGCAGAACUCCUACUGCGUGUUAGUUUUGGAUGAUGAUGAUGAUGAUGAUGACCUUAAAAUCUUAUUGAUGACGACCUUAAAAUCUUUCCUAUACUUUAUGAAGGAAAGUUAUAUGAUAUCAUUUGAUUGAUUGAAUGAAUGGAUUAUCUACUUUUCUAUGCAAAUAUAUUUUAU
This 1474-nucleotide long non-coding RNA is filed under the name Cucumis sativus (cucumber). RNAcentral's name for it is "long non-coding RNA (CSAT_LNC001297)". Lineage: Eukaryota; Viridiplantae; Streptophyta; Magnoliopsida; Cucurbitales; Cucurbitaceae. The record is from RNAcentral.